Molecule: ribosomal RNA, 213 nt
Filed under: Trachylepis maculilabris
Lineage: Eukaryota; Metazoa; Chordata; Lepidosauria; Squamata; Scincidae
Description: partial 16S ribosomal RNA
Rfam family: Bacterial large subunit ribosomal RNA
Source: RNAcentral
CCCGCCUGCCCAGUGAAACUUUUUAACGGCCGCGGUAUUCUAACCGUGCAAAGGUAGCGUAAUCACUUGUCUUCUAAAUAAAGACCAGUAUGAACGGCUAAAUGAGGACAAACCUGUCUCCAAUAACUAAUCAGUGAAACUGAUCUUCCAGUACAAAAGCUGGGAUAUACACAUAAGACGAGAAGACCCCGUGGAGCUUAAAACAAAGUACUA